This is a long non-coding RNA of Portunus trituberculatus (swimming crab), 1088 nucleotides long. RefSeq lists it as uncharacterized. The transcript is spliced from 3 exons. NCBI's taxonomy places the organism in Eukaryota, Metazoa, Arthropoda, Malacostraca, Decapoda, Portunidae. The record is from RefSeq and is a predicted model, not a curated record.
GCCGCCGCGCCACUAAGGCCGCACCACCAGUCUGCCUGAUUGUGACUUAGGUGUCGUGUGUCCCACCGCCGCUGCCGCUGAGACCACCAACGUUGCAUUAGGUGUGUAUUGGAGUGUAUGUGGGUGUUGUCUUCUCGUGCAUGGAGUGUUUCUGUCUUGAGUGCUGUGAUGGGAAAGCCUCCAUUCACACACAGCACUUCCAGACAGAACAGUAACCAACACCAUUACCUCCAGCACCACCACCACCACCACCACCACUGCCAUCUGACUGCUCUCGGAAACAGAACACAAUACAUAAAAGAGAUCAAUCAACACGUGAAGGUUACUUGUUCCUGACCAGCCACACGUAAUUCAAACCUCUACGAUGUAACACUCCAGACAUUGCUUAUUCUACUCAAGUCACUGCGUCGAGGCACCGAGGCUUCACACGCUACUUGUAACCAUCACUUUUUCAUGGAGAGGAGAAGCCACGUGACGAUGAUUAAAACAGCAGUAGGACGAGUCAGACACUGUUCACAUCUUGAGGCGUCGCUGGCAGAGUCACAAGAGGGACAGUAAACAUGUAGCGUGAAUGUGAUGUAGUAGUGUGAGGUCCUGUUUACCCUGCCCAGUCUCUGCCUCUACCACUACCACUACCGUUCAUCAGUCAGCAAGCGAUCAGUUCAUAUUAACUUAGAAUCUGUCACAUAUAUGAGGUUCUGCUAACCCUGCCCCGUCUGUCUCUACCACUUUCACUACCAUCCGCCAGAUACUAACAGAGUAUGAACAGUAGCUUAGAAUCUGUUGAAAAUAUGAGAGGAACAAUAAACAUGACCUGGUGCAAUAAUUUAAGAUCUUUGUGGUUAACCUGGCCAAUCUCUGCUACUUCGGUCCAUUAGUUUGUAUUGCAGCACAAAUCAUAGCAUACACUCUGUUUACACACGUGAUAGGAACAGUGAACAGAGUCUGGUGCUGUAGAUUGACGUCUUCUACAUCAUUCUUUUCAUCAUCUAUUAUUGCAGUCCAUCAGUCUUUUUUGUUUAAUCUUUUUUGUUAUUUUUGGCAUGUUGUUCUGUCCUACAUAAAAAAAUAAAUGUGUAGUAACGUUG